UAAAAAACCAAUGCCCUUCGGGGCUCCUUGGUGAAUCAUAAUAACUUAACGAAUCGCAUGGCCUUGCGCCGGCGAUGGUUCAUUCAAAUUUCUGCCCUAUCAACUUUCGAUGGUAGGAUAGUGGCCUACCAUGGUGGCAACGGGUAACGGGGAAUUAGGGUUCGAUUCCGGAGAGGGAGCCUGAGAAACGGCUACCACAUCCAAGGAAGGCAGCAGGCGCGCAAAUUACCCAAUCCCGACACGGGGAGGUAGUGACAAUAAAUACUGAUACGGGGCUCUUUUGGGUCUCGUAAUUGGAAUGAGUACAAUCUAAAUCCCUUAACGAGGAACAAUUGGAGGGCAAGUCUGGUGCCAGCAGCCGCGGUAAUUCCAGCUCCAAUAGCGUAUAUUAAAGUUGUUGCAGUUAAAAAGCUCGUAGUUGAACCUUGGGUCUGGCUGGCCGGUCCGCCUCACCGCGAGUACUGGUCCGGCUGGACCUUUCCUUCUGGGGAACCUCAUGGCCUUCACUGGCUGUGGGGGGAACCAGGACUUUUACUGUGAAAAAAUUAGAGUGUUCAAAGCAGGCCUUUGCUCGAAUACAUUAGCAUGGAAUAAUAGAAUAGGACGUGCGGUUCUAUUUUGUUGGUUUCUAGGACCGCCGUAAUGAUUAAUAGGGAUAGUCGGGGGCGUCAGUAUUCAGCUGUCAGAGGUGAAAUUCUUGGAUUUGCUGAAGACUAACUACUGCGAAAGCAUUCGCCAAGGAUGUUUUCAUUAAUCAGGGAACGA
This 765-nucleotide ribosomal RNA is filed under the name fungal sp. HS18 LX-2016. RNAcentral's name for it is "SSU rRNA". It matches the Rfam family "Eukaryotic small subunit ribosomal RNA", at positions 215 to 986 of the family's 1831-position model. The record is from RNAcentral. Lineage: Eukaryota; Fungi.